AUCUGAUCUCAAAUCAGGUAGGACUACCCGCUGAACUUAAGCAUAUCAAUAAGCGGAGGAAAAGAAACUAACAAGGAUUCCCCUAGUAACGGCGAGUGAAGCGGGAAGAGCUCAAAUUUAAAAUCUGGCGGUGUAUUCCGUCCGAGUUGUAGUCUAGAGAAGCAUCAUCCGCGCUGGACCAUGUACAAGUCUCUUGGAAUAGAGCGUCAUAGAGGGUGAGAAUCCCGUCCUUGACAUGGACUCCCAGUGCUUUGUGUUGUGCUCUCAACGAGUCGAGUUGUUUGGGAAUGCAGCUCAAAAUGGGUGGUAAAUUCCAUCUAAAGCUAAAUAUUGGCGAGAGACCGAUAGCGAACAAGUACCGUGAGGGAAAGAUGAAAAGCACUUUGGAGAGAGAGUUAAACAGUACGUGAAAUUGUUGAAAUGGAAACGCUUGAAGUCAGUCGCGUUCUCUGGGAUUCAGCCUUGCUUCUGCUUGGUGCAUUUCCUAGUCUACGGGCCAGCAUGAAUUUUGACCGUUGGAAAAAGGCAGGGGGAAUGUGGCACCUCCGGGUGUGUUAUAGCCCCUUGUCACACACGGCGGUUGGGAUUGAGGAUUCAGUGCACGC
This 605-nucleotide ribosomal RNA is filed under the name Ceratobasidiaceae sp. RNAcentral's name for it is "partial large subunit ribosomal RNA". It matches the Rfam family "Eukaryotic large subunit ribosomal RNA", at positions 1 to 604 of the family's 3401-position model. Lineage: Eukaryota; Fungi; Basidiomycota; Agaricomycetes; Cantharellales; Ceratobasidiaceae. The record is from RNAcentral.